GUGACAUACCACUUGUUGCCUCGGCGGAUCAGCCCGCUCCCGGUAAAACGGGACGGCCCGCCAGAGGACCCCUAAACUCUGUUUCUAUAUGUAACUUCUGAGUAAAACCAUAAAUAAAUCAAAACUUUCAACAACGGAUCUCUUGGUUCUGGCAUCGAUGAAGAACGCAGCAAAAUGCGAUAAGUAAUGUGAAUUGCAGAAUUCAGUGAAUCAUCGAAUCUUUGAACGCACAUUGCGCCCGCCAGUAUUCUGGCGGGCAUGCCUGUUCGAGCGUCAUUUCAACCCUCAAGCACAGCUUGGUGUUGGGACUCGCGUUAAUUCGCGUUCCUCAAAUUGAUUGGCGGUCACGUCGAGCUUCCAUAGCGUAGUAGUAAAACCCUCGUUACUGGUAAUCGUCGCGGCCACGCCGUUAAACCCCAACUUCUGAAUGUUGACCUCGGAUCAGGUAGGAAUACCCGCUGAACUUAAGCAUAUCAAUAAG
This 481-nucleotide ribosomal RNA is filed under the name Fusarium oxysporum. RNAcentral describes it as "eukaryotic LSU rRNA". The stretch from base 123 to 276 matches the Rfam family "5.8S ribosomal RNA". The record is from RNAcentral. Lineage: Eukaryota; Fungi; Ascomycota; Sordariomycetes; Hypocreales; Nectriaceae.